This 244-nucleotide ribosomal RNA is filed under the name uncultured bacterium. RNAcentral's name for it is "partial 16S ribosomal RNA". It matches the Rfam family "Bacterial small subunit ribosomal RNA", at positions 524 to 767 of the family's 1533-position model. The record is from RNAcentral.
UACAGAGGGGGCAAGCGUUGUUCGGAAUUACUGGGCGUAAAGGGCGCGUAGGCGGCCUGUUAAGUCGGACGUGAAAUCCCCGGGCUCAACCCGGGAACUGCGUCCGAUACUGGCAGGCUUGAAUCCGGGAGAGGGAUGUGGAAUUCCAGGUGUAGCGGUGAAAUGCGUAGAUAUCUGGAGGAACACCGGUGGCGAAGGCGGCAUCCUGGACCGGUAUUGACGCUGAGGCGCGAAAGCCAGGGGA